RNAcentral lists this ribosomal RNA (715 nucleotides) under uncultured bacterium. RNAcentral describes it as "bacterial SSU rRNA". It matches the Rfam family "Bacterial small subunit ribosomal RNA", at positions 133 to 860 of the family's 1533-position model. The record is from RNAcentral.
UGACUUUGGGAUAAGCCUGGGAAACUGGGUCUAAUACCGGAUAUGACCAUGGGAUGCAUGUUCUGUGGUGGAAAGCUUUUGCGGUUGGGGAUGGGCCCGCGGCCUAUCAGCUUGUUGGUGGGGUAAUGGCCUACCAAGGCGACGACGGGUAGCCGACCUGAGAGGGUGAUCGGCCACACUGGGACUGAGACACGGCCCAGACUCCUACGGGAGGCAGCAGUGGGGAAUAUUGCACAAUGGGCGCAAGCCUGAUGCAGCGACGCCGCGUGAGGGAUGACGGCCUUCGGGUUGUAAACCUCUUUCAGUAGGGACGAAGCUUCGGUGACGGUACCUGCAGAAGAAGCACCGGCCAACUACGUGCCAGCAGCCGCGGUAAUACGUAGGGUGCGAGCGUUGUCCGGAAUUACUGGGCGUAAAGAGCUCGUAGGCGGUUUGUCGCGUCGUCCGUGAAAUUCUGCAACUCAAUUGCAGGCGUGCAGGCGAUACGGGCAGACUUGAGUACUACAGGGGAGACUGGAAUUCCUGGUGUAGCGGUGAAAUGCGCAGAUAUCAGGAGGAACACCGGUGGCGAAGGCGGGUCUCUGGGUAGUAACUGACGCUGAGGAGCGAAAGCGUGGGUAGCGAACAGGAUUAGAUACCCUGGUAGUCCACGCCGUAAACGGUGGGUACUAGGUGUGGGUUCCAUUUCACGGGAUCCGUGCCGUAGCUAACGCAU